GUCUUCGUGGCUCAGUUGGGAAGAGGUUUGACUAUGGUUCAGAAGGUCAGGGGUUCGACCCCAUCGGUGGCU
Molecule: non-coding RNA, 72 nt
Organism: Caenorhabditis elegans
Lineage: Eukaryota; Metazoa; Nematoda; Chromadorea; Rhabditida; Rhabditidae
Source: the annotation of a RefSeq genome assembly